This 72-nucleotide transfer RNA is filed under the name Camelus bactrianus (Bactrian camel). It matches the Rfam family "tRNA". Rfam says of the family: Transfer RNA (tRNA) molecules are approximately 80 nucleotides in length. Their secondary structure includes four short double-helical elements and three loops (D, anti-codon, and T loops). Further hydrogen bonds mediate the characteristic L-shaped molecular structure. tRNAs have two regions of fundamental functional importance: the anti-codon, which is responsible for specific mRNA codon recognition, and the 3' end, to which the tRNAs corresponding amino acid is attached (by aminoacyl-tRNA synthetases). tRNAs cope with the degeneracy of the genetic code in two manners: having more than one tRNA (with a specific anti-codon) for a particular amino acid; and 'wobble' base-pairing, i.e. permitting non-standard base-pairing at the 3rd anti-codon position. Lineage: Eukaryota; Metazoa; Chordata; Mammalia; Artiodactyla; Camelidae. The record is from Rfam by way of RNAcentral. RNAcentral also lists the same sequence under 2 other names.
GGAGGUAUAGCUCAGUGGUAGAGCGCAUGCUUAGCAUGCCGGAGGUCCGGGGUUCAAGCCCCAGUCCCUCCA